Molecule: long non-coding RNA, 2176 nt
Filed under: Homo sapiens (human)
Lineage: Eukaryota; Metazoa; Chordata; Mammalia; Primates; Hominidae
Description: HSALNT0343822
Source: RNAcentral
ACUCUACCUUCUUCACUAUGCCAUUUUCAACAAUCUUGACCCCAAAAUAAAAUUCCCUGCCCUGAAUAAAGAAGACCCAAGCUAUGAAAUCACAAAAACUUCCUCUAUCCCGGUAGCUUACAGCAUCUGGUGAAGUCGGUAAUUUCUCAAAAAAAAAAUAAAACAGGGACCAACCCUAGACAGACAGAGAUAUGCGACCUUUAAGACAAAGAACUCAAAAUCGUGCUUUGAGGAAACUCAAUGAAAUUCAAGAUAAACAAACAUGUCCCCCAAAAUGACAGUCAAUGUUACGAUAAAAAUAAAGAUUAGUAAAAGACUGACCAGAUAAUGAGAUAGCCUUAUAUUUCCAAGGUCAUCUUGACCUUCAAGAAGGGGUCAAAUAUGCAUUAACAAGUGAAAAAUAGGAAUAUAAAAAGUAGGAUCAUUUGCAAGGCAAUACACAGUAUCUAAUGUGGAAAGUAACGACGGAUAUAAUUAAGACCAGCAAAAGGCCUGCUAUGUGAAAUGAGUAACUUGCACAAGGCACAUCUGCUGAUCUGAGCAGCGGAGAGGGAAGAGAUUAUUCUGGAAGAGGCAGAGGAGUGGUGUGAGAUAAGGACACACUGGUGCAAAAUAGUAUCAUUAGCAAACAGAACCUGCCGGGGGACUGUGGCCUAUAUGACUUUUCUUUCCACUGUCCUCUGUGAGAGCUCAAAUGCACCAUUUUCUGUUCCAAGGAUUUGCUCCCGCAGCCCUCACUCCACCCCAGUUAGAAGCUGCUGGUAUUUAUUCCUCUGCAGUCUCCCAUGGACAAACUCCCACUCCUUCUUCGUGGAGCAUGGUCUAGAGCAGAGGUCAUCUCUCCCUCCCUCCAAAUCCCACAGUAAUUGGCAUGAGCCUCUCUCAUAGCUUGCUCACGUGCCACCUAAUUCUGCACCUUUUCAUUUCAACUAGAUUGAGAGUUAGGUGUGGAUCAUGAACCUUAAACAACACCUUCAUCAACAGGAUGUGUAAAUGACUGCUUUCACUGUUCUAUCGUGAACAGAAGAAAUACACCAUUAAAAUGAUUGUUUAAAUUAAUUUAACCACAAAAACUUUCCCAAAUGCUGUCAACAAUGCAACCGCAAAAGAAUUACUCUCCUAAAUUGUGAGAUUGUAGAAUGAAACAAGAAGCAAAGAAAAUUAUGUCAAAUAUUGGAGAGGAGCCUCAGAAUUUGAAUCCCUCUUCUACAAAUAUCAUUUGACAUGAUGCCUCUCUCUACCUGAGACACAGAAUGGCACCUGUGCCCCAUACCCACUGGAGACUGUGGAAAUCUGGAGGGAGCAACCUUGGUGAUUCUGCCCCAAGAGAAGGGAUUCUCUGGAGCUCUGGACAACAUCCUGGGACUAAGAUGGACAGUGGGAGUAUUGCAGCUUGGAGAGGAUAAUAUUUAAGCCGCUCCUCUGUCUGCUGGGCAUGUUCUCUAGGAUGUGUCAACAGCUCCGCCAACACAAAGCACCAAAAGUACCUGACUGUGGCCUGAGGAGUCAAGAUCAGGGCUGGAAGAAGGAAGACAGCAGAAGCAACUCCAGGGCUCUCACAAUGGCCAAGCGGCAAUUUGGUGAUGCCUCCGACUGGGACCGGCUACCAGGUGAUUCCGGUGGCUAUAAGACCUUUCCUUAUUUUUUUCUAGGUGUUGAAAACUUUCGGGUGGGGGAAAGAGAGUUCAUGGUGCACAGAACACCACUUUUCAUCACCUUCUGCUCUAUCUCUGUUUUCAAUCAUCUUUCGUUUUCUCUCUCCUUGACUUUCCCAAAACCUCAAUUUCUUCUCCCCAAGUUGUAUAAAGCAAACCCUGUGAUUCUCCCUUCUACACUACACUGUUAUCAACAAUCUUGACCACAAAAUUAAAUCUCUUGUCCUGAGAAAGAGUGCGCCAGCUGUUAAAUUACACACAUUUCCUCUACUCCUGUAGUUCACAGUGUCGGCAAAGAAGGUAAUGCUGCAGUCAACCUACGGAAGCAGCACCAUCCUCUGAGCAGGCUCUCUUGGCCUUGUUUUCCCCAGCCAAGUUGCAGAAAGCCCCAGGCUGUGGAUCCUAGCAUUCUAAAUUGCCUUUCUUUCUCCCUGCAGUCCCCAGGUUCUCACAGAUAUGUCAGGGCUGAGGUUGCUCCACAUUGGGCCAGGGAGGUUUGUGCACAGAAUGUGGUUGGCUUU